CUGUGAAGAUGCAGUGUACCCGCGGCAAGACGGAAAGACCCCGUGAACCUUUACUAUAGCUUGACACUGAACAUUGAGCCUUGAUGUGUAGGAUAGGUGGGAGGCUUUGAAGUGUGGACGCCAGUCUGCAUGGAGCCGACCUUGAAAUACCACCCUUUAAUGUUUGAUGUUCUAACGUUGGCCCGUAAUCCGGGUUGCGGACAGUGUCUGGUGGGUAGUUUGACUGGGGCGGUCUCCUCCUAAAGAGUAACGGAGGAGCACGAAGGUUGGCUAAUCCUGGUCGGACAUCAGGAGGUUAGUGCAAUGGCAUAAGCCAGCUUGACUGCGAGCGUGACGGCGCGAGCAGGUGCGAAAGCAGGUCAUAGUGAUCCGGUGGUUCUGAAUGGAAGGGCCAUCGCUCAACGGAUAAAAGGUACUCCGGGGAUAACAGGCUGAUACCGCCCAAGAGUUCAUAUCGACGGCGGUGUUUGGCACCUCGAUGUCGGCUCAUCACAUCCUGGGGCUGAAGUAGGUCCCAAGGGUAUGGCUGUUCGCCAUUUAAAGUGGUACGCGAGCUGGGUUUAGAACGUCGUGAGACAGUUCGGUCCCUAUCUGCCGUGGGCGCUGGAGAACUGAGGGGGGCUGCUCCUAGUACGAGAGGACCGGAGUGGACGCAUCACUGGUGUUCGGGUUGUCAUGCCAAUGGCACUGCCCGGUAGCUAAAUGCGGAAGAGAUAAGUGCUGAAAGCAUCUAAGCACGAAACUUGCCCCGAGAUGAGUUCUCCCUGAGACUUAGAGUCUCCUGAAGGAACGUUGAAGACGACGACGUUGAUAGGCCGGGUGUGUAAGCGCAGCGAUGCGUUGAGCUAACCGGUACUAAUGAACCGUGAGGCUUAACCUUACAACGCCGAAG
This 892-nucleotide ribosomal RNA is filed under the name Escherichia coli. RNAcentral's name for it is "partial 23S ribosomal RNA". It matches the Rfam family "Bacterial large subunit ribosomal RNA", at positions 2051 to 2925 of the family's 2925-position model. Lineage: Bacteria; Pseudomonadati; Pseudomonadota; Gammaproteobacteria; Enterobacterales; Enterobacteriaceae. The record is from RNAcentral.